GUUGGUGUCUCCGUCCGCCCGGCUGGGGCAGCCGCUCCCGAGGGAGCAUAACCGAGAGUUCUGGGUGGCGGUAAACGGGGCACGGAACAGAAGCCGUGAGGUAGAGUGGUUGAAUUCCGUGUGCUGGAGCAGUGUGCUGCGCCCGGGGCGCGGGAACGGGCGAGAGGAGAGUCAGAAACCAGAGCGGGACCUGGUGAGCAGUCAGAAUCCAAUAUGAAGUGUGGAUGAAUCACGCCAGGAAAAUAUGUUUAACAAAUAUGUUGACUCCCACUUAAAUCAACCUCCCCUCCAGCAGGCGAUUUAAAUGGUUGUGAGGCUUCACUGGGAGCUACACAGGGAACUUCUCUGACAGUGAUGAAACACCUUCUGUAGGGCAAGAGAAAUAUCUGGGAAAAUAAUGUUAUUGUUGCCUUGAGAAACUUUGCCUAUGGAAAAUAUCAAGAUAAUUCAUCUCAAUUAAUAAAAGUACCUCUAUGUUUCAGCAACCAGACACAAGAAAAAUAGAGGUCAGUUCCAGAAACCUUUACUCUUAAGAGUAUCCCACUAAAUUCCAAAAGAUGGCUUGUGUCUACAGUGAUGCCCAUGUGAUUAAAGACUGCAAUUUAUCUCUGGAUGCUUCAUGAGAUCUUUUUAAUUUGAAAUCUUUAGUGUUUUUUCAAAGCCAAAUCCAUGCCAAUUACCACAGGACCACUAGACAUUAAAAGCAGAAUCAGAAUCAUCUUGUAACAAAAGUGACUCUUCUUGAAAAGAUAGCCUAGGAAGUGCUUACUGAGAAGAACCAUCAACCAGUCUUCAUAGUAUAUUCUUUGGCAGUAACUGGGCAAAAUAUUCAUUGCAGUGAGUAGUUUAUAUUAAAACCAGUCACACUGAACUUGUACAGUAACCCAUGAAAAUAUCUCCUUUUAAUGUGAUAGCUUACCAUCUUCAUAGUCGUAAGAUAAAUUUGUACCUCAGUUAGGUAUAUUUGAAACAGACAAAAACACUGGCAAAAGAUUGGCGGGUCUGUCUUGGCUGAAGCCAGCUGUGGUUGGAUUAACUUUUGUGUUAAGUAGCUAAUAAAUUACUUUCUGCUAAGUAUUUAGAAGUACAUACUAUGAAGAGUUACUUACCUUCCAAACUUGGCACAAAGCCUGCCUCUGUUACAUGCACACAUAAACCCCAUGUCAACAUUUUACAGGGCGUCUGAGUUCUGGAUAUGCAUUAAUGAAGUAUUUGUCCUAAUAUCUUUUUCCUAACAUUUUCAUAUUUUUUCCAGAUAUGGGAAUAAGCUGGAGAUUGUUAAACUUGAAUAAGAAAAGUCAGACAAAGAUGCUUUACUUACAAGGGUUGACAAUUUGUUCAGCAAACAUAAUCUGAGUAGAAAAAGCUUAAUCCAAAACCCAAUCUACAAAUAUUUUUACACAGAUUUAACCUAUACUACCAGACCAUUUAUAUAAACUACUUGACUAUUUGCCUUCCAUUUUCUGGACAUCGGUGUA
Molecule: long non-coding RNA, 1478 nt
Organism: Melopsittacus undulatus (budgerigar)
Lineage: Eukaryota; Metazoa; Chordata; Aves; Psittaciformes; Psittaculidae
Exons: 3
Source: RefSeq, a predicted model, not a curated record